GGAAUAUAGCUCAGUUGGUAGAGUGCUUGCCUUGCAUGCUCCAAGGUCCUGGGUUCAAUCCCCAGCACCA
Molecule: transfer RNA, 70 nt
Filed under: Marmota monax (woodchuck)
Lineage: Eukaryota; Metazoa; Chordata; Mammalia; Rodentia; Sciuridae
Description: tRNA.Ala
Source: RNAcentral